Molecule: ribosomal RNA, 495 nt
Filed under: uncultured bacterium
Lineage: Bacteria
Description: partial 16S ribosomal RNA
Rfam family: Bacterial small subunit ribosomal RNA
Source: RNAcentral
GAUGAACGCUGGCGGCGUGCCUAAUACAUGCAAGUCGAGCGAACAGACGAGGAGCUUGCUCCUCUGACGUUAGCGGCGGACGGGUGAGUAACACGUGGAUAACCUACCUAUAAGACUGGGAUAACUUCGGGAAACCGGAGCUAAUACCGGAUAAUAUAUUGAACCGCAUGGUUCAAUAGUGAAAGACGGUUUUGCUGUCACUUAUAGAUGGAUCCGCGCCGCAUUAGCUAGUUGGUAAGGUAACGGCUUACCAAGGCAACGAUGCGUAGCCGACCUGAGAGGGUGAUCGGCCACACUGGAACUGAGACACGGUCCAGACUCCUACGGGAGGCAGCAGUAGGGAAUCUUCCGCAAUGGGCGAAAGCCCGACGGAGCAACGCCGCGUGAGUGAUGAAGGUCUUCGGAUCGUAAAACUCUGUUAUUAGGGAAGAACAAAUGUGUAAGUAACUAUGCACGUCUUGACGGUACCUAAUCAGAAAGCCAUGGCUAACUACG